Molecule: non-coding RNA, 248 nt
Organism: Pelobates cultripes (western spadefoot toad)
Lineage: Eukaryota; Metazoa; Chordata; Amphibia; Anura; Pelobatidae
Source: the annotation of a GenBank genome assembly
CCCACCUGAAACCUGUGGGAGUGGCCAGUAACAUCUCUACCCCCCCAGUUCAGUGGCAGAACUAAUGUAGAGAGGGCCCCGGUGCAAAAAUCUUUUUGUCUUCCCAUUGCAAGUUUAGCCAAAAGGUAAAUUCCCAAACUGGAAAGAAGGAACGAGCCCAGGCACACCCUGUACUUUGCUCAAUCAGGUAGACUUUUAAAGGAGCACUAUGGUACCAGGAAAACAAACUUUUUCCUGGCACUAUAGGG